UACGUAGGGUGCAAGCGUUGUUCGGAAUCACUGGGCGUAAAGGGAGCGUAGGCGGGAUCGUAAGUUAGGAGUUUAAUACAUGGGCUCAACCCAUGAUCUGCUUUUAAUACUGCGGUUCUUGAGUAUGGGAGAGGGUGAUGGAAUUCCAGGUGUAGCGGUGGAAUGCGUAGAUAUCUGGAAGAACACCAGUAGCGAAGGCGGUCGCCUGGCCCAAUACUGACGCUGAUGCUCGAAAGUUGGGGGAGCAAACAGG
RNAcentral lists this ribosomal RNA (253 nucleotides) under uncultured bacterium. Its description in RNAcentral is "partial 16S ribosomal RNA". It matches the Rfam family "Bacterial small subunit ribosomal RNA", at positions 524 to 776 of the family's 1533-position model. The record is from RNAcentral.